CAGUAGCCGCGGUAAUACGUAGGGUGCAAGCGUUAAUCGGAAUUACUGGGCGUAAAGCGUGCGCAGGCGGUGUUGUAAGACUGAUGUGAAAUCCCCGGGCUCAACCUGGGAACUGCAUUGGUGACUGCAACGCUGGAGUGCGGCAGAGGGGGAUGGAAUUCCGCGUGUAGCAGUGAAAUGCGUAGAUAUGCGGAGGAACACCGAUGGCGAAGGCAAUCCCCUGGGCCUGCACUGACGCUCAUGCACGAAAGCGUGGGGAGCAAACAGGAUUAGAUACCCGCGUAGUCCCUGUCUCUUAUAC
This 301-nucleotide ribosomal RNA is filed under the name uncultured bacterium. Its description in RNAcentral is "partial 16S ribosomal RNA". It matches the Rfam family "Bacterial small subunit ribosomal RNA", at positions 509 to 807 of the family's 1533-position model. The record is from RNAcentral.